AGUGAACGCUGGCGGUAGGCCUAACACAUGCAAGUCGAACGGCAGCACAGUAAGAGCUUGCUCUUACGGGUGGCGAGUGGCGGACGGGUGAGGAAUACAUCGGAAUCUACUUUUUCGUGGGGGAUAACGUAGGGAAACUUACGCUAAUACCGCAUACGACCUCCGGGUGAAAGCAGGGGAUCUUCGGACCUUGCGCGAUUGAAUGAGCCGAUGUCGGAUUAGCUAGUUGGCGGGGUAAGGGCCCACCAAGGCGACGAUCCGUAGCUGGUCUGAGAGGAUGAUCAGCCACACUGGAACUGAGACACGGUCCAGACUCCUACGGGAGGCAGCAGUGGGGAAUAUUGGACAAUGGGCGCAAGCCUGAUCCAGCCAUACCGCGUGGGUGAAGAAGGCCUUCGGGUUGUAAAGCCCUUUUGUUGGGAAAGAAAAGCAGCAGGUUAAUACCCCGCUGUUCUGACGGUACCCAAAGAAUAAGCACCGGCUAACUUCGUG
This 492-nucleotide ribosomal RNA is filed under the name uncultured bacterium. RNAcentral's name for it is "partial 16S ribosomal RNA". It matches the Rfam family "Bacterial small subunit ribosomal RNA", at positions 29 to 507 of the family's 1533-position model. The record is from RNAcentral.